AGAGUUUGAUCCUGGCUCAGGACGAACGCUGACGGUGUGCUUUAGACAUGCAAGUCGAACGAGAAAGCCCUUCGGGGUGAGUACAGUGGCGAACGGGUGAGUAACACGUGGGCAAUCUGCCCCUCGCAGGGGGACAACCGGAGGAAACUCCGGCUAAUACCCCGUACGCUCUACGGACCGCAUGGUCCAUAGAGGAAAGGUAGCUUCGGCCAUCCGGCGAGGGAUGAGCCCGCGUUCCAUUAGCUUGUUGGUGGGGUAAUGGCCCACCAAGGCGACGAUGGAUAGCUGGUCUGAGAGGAUGAUCAGCCACACUGGGACUGAGACACGGCCCAGACUCCUACGGGAGGCAGCAGUCGGGAAUCUUGCGCAAUGGGCGAAAGCCUGACGCAGCAACACCGUGUGUGUGAGGAAGGCCUUCGGGUCGUAAAGCACUGUUGUUAGGGACGAAGGGCGAGAGGUUAAUAGCCUCGAGCUUGACGGUACCUUUCGAGGAAGCCCCGGCUAACUACGUGCCAGCAGCCGCGGUAAUACGUAGGGGGCGAGCGUUGUCCGGAAUUAUUGGGCGUAAAGAGCGUGUAGGCGGUUCGGUAAGUCUGUUGUGAAAUCCUGGGGCUCAACCCUGGGCGUGCAACGGAUACUGCCGGGCUAGAGGGUGGUAGAGGCAAGUGGAAUUCCGAGUGUAGCGGUGAAAUGCGCAGAUAUUCGGAGGAACACCAGUAGCGAAGGCGGCUUGCUGGGCCACACCUGACGCUGAGACGCGAAAGCUAGGGGGAGCGAACAGGAUUAGAUACCCUGGUAGUCCUAGCCGUAAACGAUGGACACUAAGGUGUGGGCGGAGUCAAAUCUGUCUGUGCCGAAGCCAACGCGAAUAAGUGUCCCCGCCUGGGGGAGUACGGGCCGCAAGGGUUAAAACUUCAAAAGAAUUUGACGGGGGGCCCCCCACAAGCAGGCGGAAGCAUGGUUCUUUUAAUUCCAAUGCCAACGCGAAAAAAACCUUUACC
This 1001-nucleotide ribosomal RNA is filed under the name uncultured bacterium. RNAcentral's name for it is "bacterial SSU rRNA". It matches the Rfam family "Bacterial small subunit ribosomal RNA", at positions 8 to 975 of the family's 1533-position model. The record is from RNAcentral.